Molecule: long non-coding RNA, 350 nt
Filed under: Capsicum annuum
Lineage: Eukaryota; Viridiplantae; Streptophyta; Magnoliopsida; Solanales; Solanaceae
Description: long non-coding RNA (CANN_LNC020827)
Source: RNAcentral
AAACAACAACAAACAACGACGAAUAAUAAUAAUUUUGAACUGGCAAGCUUGUACGGCAAUUCGAAUGGAACUCAUCAACACCCAGUACCAACGACAACAACUCGAUCAACCCGAAUCGAUACCAACAAAAAUCCGAAGAAGCUGAAAUCAACGAACAACUGCAAAACCCGACUUCGAUGACCCAAAAACCCAAUAACAGAGUGACCCAACCAAAAAUUCAAAUUCAAAAUUUGAAUUCAUACUAAUUAGUAUGAAUUUUUACAAUGCAACUCAUCCCCUUUAACCUCUUAUCUCAAAUUCAAAAAUUCCUUAAAAAUACUUAAAAUGUCCCUUACAUCCUUUCUCCUACA